UUUUGAUUCCAGAUGUGUUCCCAAAU
RNAcentral lists this non-coding RNA (26 nucleotides) under Mus musculus (house mouse). The record is from RNAcentral. Lineage: Eukaryota; Metazoa; Chordata; Mammalia; Rodentia; Muridae. RNAcentral also lists the same sequence under 1 other name.